RNAcentral lists this transfer RNA (94 nucleotides) under Terriglobia bacterium. RNAcentral describes it as "tRNA-Ser". It matches the Rfam family "tRNA". From Rfam's summary of the family: Transfer RNA (tRNA) molecules are approximately 80 nucleotides in length. Lineage: Bacteria; Pseudomonadati; Acidobacteriota; Terriglobia. The record is from RNAcentral.
GGAGAGGUACCGAAGUGGUCGUAACGGGCUCGACUCGAAAUCGAGUUAGGGGCCAAAAGCCUCUACGCGGGUUCGAAUCCCGCCCUCUCCGCCA